RNAcentral lists this long non-coding RNA (547 nucleotides) under Ananas comosus (pineapple). RNAcentral describes it as "long non-coding RNA (ACOM_LNC000399)". Lineage: Eukaryota; Viridiplantae; Streptophyta; Magnoliopsida; Poales; Bromeliaceae. The record is from RNAcentral.
GCCAUGGCUAUUAUACUAUUAUGAGUAAUGGAGCCCUCGUACUCAUAAGUUGUUUUCAAUGAUGGAGCUUUCGAAUCGACAAUCCACUCCGUUAAAUAUGAUCUAGAGUAUUGAAACUUCUAGAAAAUAAAUUUCGUAAAUUUUCGAAAUCAUAAUAAAGUCCAUCACGUGGGCAUAAAAUGAACGGUCAAAAUCGAACGAUGUCCUAAAAAAGGAUGAUCGGAUCCUUCAAUUCAAGAUCGGAGAUAUUGAUCUUUAUCUAUAUAGUGAAUAGAAUUUUCUAUCAAAAAUUUAACAAAUUCCGAUUCUUUUACACCGUUAAACUAGCAAGUAUUCCCAUACCAGCCGUUAAAAAUUGUCAAAUUUGUGACCUCUUGAUCGUAAGGUAAAUAAUGUUGAAAAGUUAUAACAUUUGAUUUCUAUACGUUUUAAAUGCUCUAGAUAACGUUUAACGGUGUGGAUCGUCGAUUCGGAAGCCCUAUCAUCGAAAACAACUUAUGAGUACGAGGGCGAUCAUACUCAUAAGAGUAUAGUAGCCAGACCCUAU